AAAUAGAAAGCAAAUUGCACUCAGUUUCGACCUGACUUUUGGUGAAUCUUCACCUCUAUUUA
Molecule: transfer RNA, 62 nt
Filed under: Ultragryllacris sp. 1 JL-2022a
Lineage: Eukaryota; Metazoa; Arthropoda; Insecta; Orthoptera; Gryllacrididae
Description: tRNA-Arg
Source: RNAcentral